Molecule: non-coding RNA, 1546 nt
Organism: Leptonychotes weddellii (Weddell seal)
Lineage: Eukaryota; Metazoa; Chordata; Mammalia; Carnivora; Phocidae
Source: RefSeq, a predicted model, not a curated record
CUUGCAAUCCUUUGGGUUCUGAUGUGUGCUCUGGCCAUGUGGUUCCCCAGAAGGUAUCUACCAAAGGUCUUUCGGAACGACAGCUGCAGGACCCCGAACCCACAUGAUCCUGCAGCAGCCCCUGGAACGAGGCCCCACAGGUUGGGCCCAGCGUGACCCACGGGCCGCGUCGGGGACGCCCCGAGCCUAGGACGUGAGCUCCCCUCUCCGAGGAGCUGUGCCCAUGAGCACCAAGCGGCGCCUGGAGGAAGAGCAGGAGCCCUUUCGAAAACGGUUCCUUUCUGAAGAGAACGUGGCCACCCACUUCUCUCCACUCAGCCUGCACAAUGACCACUCUUACCACAGCCCCCACUCAGGAGCCCUUGCUCUGAGCUGCUUCUCUCGCACUACCCUGGGAACCUGAUCCCUGAGGCCCUCCGGCUGCUGAGGCUAGGGGACACCCCCACCCCCCACUACCCUGCAACCCAAGCUGGGGAGAUAAUGGAGCUCUGAGUGCUGAUGGGCAGUAGUUCUGCCCACCUUCCUUCUUCCCCACAACAGAGAAGACCAGCAUCCCCACUAAGGGACCAGCUGUCCUGAAUAUUCUCCAGACCAGGCCUCUGGGCCCCAGGACCUACUCUCAACAGAGGAGGACACUGACUCCCACAGAGCCCUGGGGUGGGGGGAGCAGGAGGGACAGGAGCAUGGGAAGGGAGGCAUCCCCCCCCCAGAACUGAAUAAAGAUUGCUGAGCAUAUGAAAAAAAAAAUUCUUGAAAAAAAGGAAUGGGGGAGGGAGUGGGGGAGAGAACUUUCACUUUUACCUUUAAUUUAUACUGUUGUGCAUUUUUUUUUUAAACAAAGAGCACAUGUUACUUUUUAAUAAUAACACAUUUUUCAAUGAAGUAGGGAGAAAACAUACUUCAGAUGAACUAGCUGUGCUAUCUUCAUUGUACAGAGCAGGAUUUGAAUUAAAGUGUUUUCUUUGACUAUCAUCGGGCAGAUAAAGGAUUCUCAAGGUUACUUAUCCAAAAAAUGAGAGUGAGAGAGCCAGCAGUUGACAAGAGGUGACAAGAAGGGCAUUCCUGGCUUCAGGAGAAAUACAGUCUCCGUUGGCUGUGGCCUUCUCAGUGGAGGAAGGAGGCUUCAGCGUGUGGCAGGUUGGCUGGGGCGAUUUGGUGUCUAGUCUUGUGCUUGCUUGUCCGGCUUCGGGAGAAUGACUGGGGGUGCUUAGAAAGCCUCGUGAGGUGGAGAAGGGGGGCAGCGCCAGGCAGGUCAGGAGGGCCUUCGCAGGAGGGGCUUUCGGGCUCUGGCUGAGAAACAUCGUUUACCUUUGGCCUUUCCUGUCGAGUCAGAGGGUGGCCACCAGUCACCUCCAUCCCUGCCCGAGCCUGGUGGGUGGUAGGUGGAGAGCUGAGGAAUCUCUUUGCUCUUGGAUCUGAUCUUUCAAGUCCUGGGGGCUGAGUGAGAAGCCUCACACAGAAGAAUGGUUUUGUUCAUGGCACUCUGGAGGUGCCACUUGAAAUUCCAAGCGACAGUUUUGUGUGUGUUCAUAGUAGAGAAUCUUUU